This 579-nucleotide unclassified non-coding RNA is filed under the name Hevea brasiliensis (rubber tree). The record is from RNAcentral. Lineage: Eukaryota; Viridiplantae; Streptophyta; Magnoliopsida; Malpighiales; Euphorbiaceae.
GGGGAUUUAGCCUGAAGCCAAAGGCCAAAUUUCAUAGGCGAGGAACUCCCAGCAUCAACUGCUUCAAGGAACUUAUCACAAUUCCUCGUUAUAUGGCCAAUGAUUCCACAUCGGAAGCAAAAGAUUAGAAGCUUUUCAUAUCUAACUUUCACCCAUUCUUUUUUAUCGCCAUAAUUAGAUAAGAAAAAAACCAGUAAGGAGGGUUUUACUUACCUCAACCCAGACUUCGAUUUGCAUAGCAGAUAGCCAUUCCUCCAUACUAUUGUUUGCAUUGUCCAUCUAAAUAAAACCCUUGAAUAAAUUGCCAAUUCUGAUUACAUUCUCCUCAUUCCAGUUGAUAGGAGGAAGUCCCAGUAUUUGAAUCCAGAAAGCAUUUGUAGAGAAAUCAAUCGCCGUUAUUGACUUAUCCGGUGGCCAUUUCUUUAGGACCAUUAGGUUAUUAUCAAUCAACCAAGGUCCCCCUUCAUAUAUUCUUUCCUUCUCCUCUGGAUCAUCGAACAUAAGAAUGAAAACACCUUCAGGCCCUCUUCUCACCUGAAAUUCAGUUUUGAUUGCCCAGAUCUUGCCCAUCACUAUUUU